AUACGUAGGUGACAAGCGUUAUCCGGAUUUACUGGGCGUAAAGGGCGUGUAGGCGGUCUUGCAAGUCAGAAGUGAAAUUCCUGAGCUCAACUCGGGCGCUGCUUCUGAAACUGCAGGACUUGAGUGCUGGAGGGGAUAGCGGAAUUCCUAGUGGAGCGGUAAAAUGCGCAGAUAUUAGGAAGAACACCGGUGGCGAAGGCGGCUAUCUGGACAGUAACUGACGCUGAGGCGCGAAAGCGUGGGGAGCAAACAGGAUUAGAUACCCUGUUAGUCCACGCCGUAAACGAUGAAUACUAGGUGUAGGGGGUAUCGACUCCCUCUGUGCCGCAGUUAACACAAUAAGUAUUCCGCCUGGGGAGUACGGCCGCAAGGUUGAAACUCAAAGGAAUUGGCGGG
RNAcentral lists this ribosomal RNA (396 nucleotides) under uncultured bacterium. RNAcentral describes it as "partial 16S ribosomal RNA". It matches the Rfam family "Bacterial small subunit ribosomal RNA", at positions 523 to 917 of the family's 1533-position model. The record is from RNAcentral.